This 497-nucleotide ribosomal RNA is filed under the name uncultured bacterium. RNAcentral describes it as "partial 16S ribosomal RNA". It matches the Rfam family "Bacterial small subunit ribosomal RNA", at positions 28 to 507 of the family's 1533-position model. The record is from RNAcentral.
GAUGAACGCUGGCGGCGUGCCUAAUACAUGCAAGUCGAGCGAACGGACGAGAAGCUUGCUUCUCUGAUGUUAGCGGCGGACGGGUGAGUAACACGUGGAUAACCUACCUAUAAGACUGGGAUAACUUCGGGAAACCGGAGCUAAUACCGGAUAAUAUUUUGAACCGCAUGGUUCAAAAGUGAAAGACGGUCUUGCUGUCACUUAUAGAUGGAUCCGCGCUGCAUUAGCUAGUUGGUAAGGUAACGGCUUACCAAGGCAACGAUGCAUAGCCGACCUGAGAGGGGGGUCGGCCACACUGGAACUGAGACACGGUCCAGACGCCUACGGGAGGCAGCAGUAGGGAAUCUUCCGCAAUGGGCGAAAGCCUGACGGAGCAACGCCGCGUGAGUGAUGAAGGUCUUCGGAUCGUAAAACUCUGUUAUUAGGGAAGAACAUAUGUGUAAGUAACUGUGCACAUCUUGACGGUACCUAAUCAGAAAGCCACGGCUAACUACGUG